Haliotis rubra (blacklip abalone) is the source of this 178-nucleotide long non-coding RNA. RefSeq lists it as uncharacterized. NCBI's taxonomy places the organism in Eukaryota, Metazoa, Mollusca, Gastropoda, Lepetellida, Haliotidae. The transcript is spliced from 3 exons. The record is from RefSeq and is a predicted model, not a curated record.
GGCUAUAGCUUGGCCAAUCUAAUAAUGUCAUAUUUUGGGUCCGAAACCAGGCCUGUGAAUGCUUUGAACGAUGUUUUCGGUCGUUGUCCUGGUGGAAAAUCCAAACGUUUCUAUAGAACACGUGAGCAGAUGGAAGUGAGGUGAGGUGAAAUUGGGUUUUACGUCGUACUUGAGAAUA